Molecule: long non-coding RNA, 445 nt
Filed under: Anas platyrhynchos platyrhynchos (common mallard)
Lineage: Eukaryota; Metazoa; Chordata; Aves; Anseriformes; Anatidae
Description: lncRNA (ENSAPLG00000026784.1)
Source: RNAcentral
GCUUUAUAAGGGAGACAAAUUACAAACUCUGCCCAUAUUGCAGGGACUGAGAAGAGGAUCUAUGCUCUUGCCAUUUAUUUAAAUAUAAUUUUCUAUAAUAAAAAUACAAGCCCUCUAGCAUCAUGUUUCUUUCUUUGUUCAUCUCAAGUUGGUGUAUCAGCUCAGUUAAGAAAGUUGCACCCAUGAGCCUUUCUCAGUGUACCGGACACGGUACAAACACAGCACAGCUUCAUCAAAAGAUCACAGGUACGGUUGGGGUUUUUCUAGAUUUGAUUCUGAUAUGUAAAGAUGAACCAGUCAGGAAUGCAGAGAUGGAAGGCAACUUACAUGACAAAAUGAAAGAGCUCAGUAAGAGAAAAAGAAGAGAAAAUAGCUGGAAAAUCAGCAAGAUAUAAAUGGAUGAGUAACAAGAAUUACAAUAAAACAUUCAAUAGGUAAAACUGCA